This is a long non-coding RNA of Lagenorhynchus albirostris (white-beaked dolphin), 560 nucleotides long. RefSeq lists it as uncharacterized. The record is from RefSeq and is a predicted model, not a curated record. NCBI's taxonomy places the organism in Eukaryota, Metazoa, Chordata, Mammalia, Artiodactyla, Delphinidae. The transcript has 4 exons.
AGCCUGGUCCUCUCCCACAUUUGGGAGGGGCCAGAGCCUGAGAGGAUAGCUGGGCUGGUCUGCUGGAGAGGUCAUCUGACUGGCUGUUCAGCUUGGGCUGCACACACACCCUCUCCUGUACCAGGCCACACAGGAGCUGGUGCCCAUACACGGUACGCCACCAGGCUCUGAGGACACCCACUUCGCCCCCAGCGCCUCCGGGGCAUCCAGUCGCACCAUGUCUGUGACCAGCAGGAAGAUGGGACUAUCCCUGGCUCAGGAGAUCCUCAGCCACCUGGGCCUUGCCAACAAGGAAACUGAGACAAUUACCAAGUUUUGAUGCGUAUCCUUAUUUCUCGAAGUGAGACUGAUCUUCAAGUAUCUGAGCUGAGUUCAAAAGAAAUUUGGGAAGUCCCUCUACUCUUCCCUCCAGAAUGCAGUGAAAGGGAACUGCCGGUCAGCCCUACUUGCCCUGUGCAGGGCUGAAGACCUCUGAGAACUCAUCCCCAUAUGACCUUCAAGAAUCUGAGAUUCCCAUGUAUGGGUGAGCCUGCAGGAGACCAGCUGGGCCUCCAAAUAAA